AAUCAAAGGGAAGCAAAGAGGUUUCAAGAAUAAUUAAAGCCAGUCAAACUUUUGACUGUUGAUUUUUGUGUAAUCAAGAGUUUAGAGAAGAAGUUGCAGGUACAAGUUCUUGAUGUGCAUGGAAAUCAUAAGCAUCCGGAUGGGAGUUUUAGUACACGAGUACUUUCUUAUUUAAGUUAUCUUGAAUUUUAUAUUUGACUUUACUUGACCAAUGGGGUCAAGGUUUGACUUUUGAAUAUGGGACUAGUAUGGGAUAGUCUCGGAGUUUGUAAUUCAUUUACAUACUUUCU
This is a long non-coding RNA of Beta vulgaris subsp. vulgaris (sugar beet), 290 nucleotides long. RefSeq lists it as uncharacterized. NCBI's taxonomy places the organism in Eukaryota, Viridiplantae, Streptophyta, Magnoliopsida, Caryophyllales, Amaranthaceae. The transcript has 3 exons. The record is from RefSeq and is a predicted model, not a curated record.